GGGUGCAAGGAACAGGGUGGAGGGGGCAGAGGAGGAGAAACAGGCCAUGAGUAACCAAGGCCAGGACGGUCCCAGAGGGCCAGCUCAGGGAGCCUGGGUUUGGGGCUCGGGAGAAAUGGGAGAAGAGGGCCCAGCUACGCUCAAUGCACCGUAGUACUGCUGCUGGCCAGAAGAGGGCAGUGGUGUCCAUGUGAAAUGGAAGUAAGACUAGGAAGGAGUAAGGAGGGCAAAUGGACAUUUAGAUGUCAGUACAUCCGUCUGCCCAUCUAUCUAUCCAUCCAUCCAUCCAUCCGUCCAUCCGUUCAUCCGUCUGUCCGUCCAUCCAUCCUAAUAAUUUUAGAGCCCGUGUUAUAUGUCUAGAACUGUCAAGGAAAAAAAAAAAACAGAAUAAGGGCUGGAAGACUCGUUUGAGAUCAUCUAAUACCAUCAGCUCAUUUUACACAUGUGGCGAAUCCAGUUUUUACAUUUUGUUUGUGAGGUUCCGUCCAUUUAAAUAGCAAUAAUAAUCCUACUUUUCAGAGCAUUCACAUACAUAUUAUUUCACUGGGUUCUUAAAUCAAAUACCAAGAUCCCUAUUUUAAAAAGGAAGACCAAUGCCUGCCAAAGAGGACCUAAGUGUCCUCUGAUCACAGAGGGUUUACAAACAAGCUGUGGUCUUCUGACUGGUAACUCACCACACCACACUAUUCCUUGUAAGCCAUGUUGGCCCCUGCUUCCCUGCCCAGGGUAAAGAUGAACACAGCAGCAGUUUCCACCUUCCAUACUACCUGCCCCCUAAAUGCCUCUCCAGCAGACGCCCGGCACACCCCACAGUGCCAGACCCACUUCCACCAGCACUUAUCAGUGGUGUAAGUAUUUACAAUUGGACACUCGCUUGUGUUCUUAAUGAGCUGCAAGGAGAAGAGAUGAAAGAGGAGACACAAUUAAAUGCAGGAAAGGUUUAAUAGGUCAUGGGAGAAAGAAAGAAAGA
This is a long non-coding RNA of Phyllostomus discolor (pale spear-nosed bat), 970 nucleotides long. RefSeq lists it as uncharacterized. NCBI's taxonomy places the organism in Eukaryota, Metazoa, Chordata, Mammalia, Chiroptera, Phyllostomidae. The transcript has 3 exons. The record is from RefSeq and is a predicted model, not a curated record.